AGAAUCAACGCUGGCGGCGUGCCUAACACAUGCAAGUCGAACGAGAAAGUGGGAGCAAUCCCAUGAGUAAAGUGGCGCACGGGUGAGUAACACGUGACUAACCUACCCUUGAGUGGGGGAUAACCUAGGGAAACCUGGGCUAAUACCGCAUAAUACCUACGGGUCAAAGGAGCAAUUCGCUUUAGGAGGGGGUCGCGGCAGAUUAGUUAGUUGGCGGGGUAAUGGCCCACCAAGACAGUGAUCUGUAUCCGGCCUGAGAGGGCGCACGGACACACUGGAACUGAAACACGGUCCAGACUCCUACGGGAGGCAGCAGUGGGAAUUUGCGCAAUGGGGGAAACCCUGACGCAGCAACGCCGCGUGGAGGAUGAAGCCCCUUGGGGCGUAAACUCCUUUCGAUCGGAAGAUAAUGACGGUACCGGAAGAAGAAGCCCGGCUAACUUCGUGCCAGCAGCCGC
This 458-nucleotide ribosomal RNA is filed under the name uncultured bacterium. RNAcentral's name for it is "SSU rRNA". It matches the Rfam family "Bacterial small subunit ribosomal RNA", at positions 26 to 518 of the family's 1533-position model. The record is from RNAcentral.